Molecule: long non-coding RNA, 718 nt
Organism: Leopardus geoffroyi (Geoffroy's cat)
Lineage: Eukaryota; Metazoa; Chordata; Mammalia; Carnivora; Felidae
Exons: 3
Source: RefSeq, a predicted model, not a curated record
UCCAUUGUAUGAAUAUACCACAUUUUGUUUAUUCAUUUAUCAUUUGAUGGACAUUUGGGUUGUUUUCAUUUUUGGCCUAUUAUAAAUAAUGCAGCUAUGAAUAUUAUUAGGGGCUGAACACCUGUUUUUAAUUUACUUGGGUAUCUAUGUAGGAGUGAAAUUUCUGGGUAAUUCUAUGUUUAACUUUUUGAGGAACCACUGAACUGUUUUCCAUAGUGAUUGCACCAUUUUAUAUUCCUGCCAGCAAUGUAUGAUUGAUCAUAAUUUUUAUUUGGGGCUGCAAAAUGUCUAGUUCUUUAGGAUGAAUCAUGAUUGGUAAAAGCCAACUGAGGGCCAUUAUAUUUCCCAAAAAAGGCCAAAACUAUAUUUCCAGUCUGACAUGCUUUUCCUUAAACUUAUCACUUUACCAUUGAGAUAAAGUAUGUUUCAUUUUCCCCUUGAAACUUGUCAGGCUUUUGUGACUCAUUUAAUAAAUAGAAGAUGGAGCAAAUAAUGUUCUGUGAUUUCUUUGUUUAUUUAUUUAUUUUGAGAGAGAGAGAUAGCACACACAUGUGCAUCCGAAUGGGGGAGGGACAGAGAGAAAGGGAGAGAAAGAAUCCCAAGCAGGCUCUGCACUGAUAGUGCAGAGGCCAGUGUGGGGGCUCGGUCCCACAACUGUGAGAUCAUGACCUGAGCCAAAACCAAGAGUCAGUUGCUCAACCGACUGAGCCACCCAGGU